This 639-nucleotide ribosomal RNA is filed under the name uncultured Actinomycetes bacterium. Its description in RNAcentral is "bacterial SSU rRNA". It matches the Rfam family "Bacterial small subunit ribosomal RNA", at positions 232 to 885 of the family's 1533-position model. Lineage: Bacteria; Bacillati; Actinomycetota; Actinomycetes. The record is from RNAcentral.
CGCGGCCUAUCAGCUUGUUGGAGAGGUAACGGCUCACCAAGGCAUCGACGGGUAGCUGGUCUGAGAGGAUGAUCAGCCACACUGGGACUGAGACACGGCCCAGACUCCUACGGGAGGCAGCAGUGGGGAAUCUUGCGCAAUGGGCGAAAGCCUGACGCAGCAACGCCGCGUGCGGGAUGAAGGCCUUCGGGUUGUAAACCCCUUUCAGCAGGGACGAAAAUGACGGUACCUGCAGAAGAAGCCCCGGUCAACUACGUGCCAGCAGCCGCGGUAAUACGUAGGGAGCGAGCGUUGUCCGGAAUUAUUGGGCGUAAAGAGCUCGUAGGCGGUUCAGUAAGUCGGGUGUGAAAACUCAAGGCUCAACCUUGAGACGCCACUCGAUACUGCUGUGACUUGAGUCCGGUAGAGGAGUGUGGAAUUCCUGGUGUAGCGGUGAAAUGCGCAGAUAUCAGGAGGAACACCAGCGGCGAAGGCGGCACUCUGGGCCGGUACUGACGCUGAGGAGCGAAAGCAUGGGGAGCAAACAGGAUUAGAUACCCUGGUAGUCCAUGCCGUAAACGUUGGGCACUAGGUAUGGGAUCAUAUCAACGGAUUCCGUGCCGUAGCUAACGCAUUAAGUGCCCCGCCUGGGGAGUACGG